Molecule: ribosomal RNA, 501 nt
Filed under: Veillonella sp. oral taxon 158
Lineage: Bacteria; Bacillati; Bacillota; Negativicutes; Veillonellales; Veillonellaceae
Description: bacterial SSU rRNA
Rfam family: Bacterial small subunit ribosomal RNA
Source: RNAcentral
GACAACGCUGACGGCGUGCUUAACACAUGCAAGUCGAACGAAGAGCGAUGGAAGCUUGCUUCUAUCAAUCUUAGUGGCGAACGGGUGAGUAACGCGUAAUCAACCUGCCCUUCAGAGGGGGACAACAGUUGGAAACGACUGCUAAUACCGCAUACGAUCCAACCUCGGCAUCGAGGAUGGAUGAAAGGUGGCCUCUAUUUAUAAGCUAUCACUGAAGGAGGGGAUUGCGUCUGAUUAGCUAGUUGGAGGGGUAACGGCCCACCAAGGCAAUGAUCAGUAGCCGGUCUGAGAGGAUGAACGGCCACAUUGGGACUGAGACACGGCCCAGACUCCUACGGGAGGCAGCAGUGGGGAAUCUUCCGCAAUGGACGAAAGUCUGACGGAGCAACGCCGCGUGAGUGAUGACGGCCUUCGGGUUGUAAAGCUCUGUUAAUCGGGACGAAGGGCCUUCUUGCGAAUAGUUAGAAGGAUUGACGGUACCGGAAUAGAAAGCCACGGCUA